UACGUAGGGGGCAAGCGUUGUCCGGAUUUAUUGGGCGUAAAGAGCGUGUAGGCGGCCAAGCAGGUCAGCUGUGAAAACUCGAGGCUCAACCUCGAGACGUCGGUUGAAACCGCUUGGCUAGAGUCCGGAAGAGGAGAGUGGAAUUCCCGGUGUAGCGGUGAAAUGCGCAGAUAUCGGGAAGAACACCCGUGGCGAAGGCGGCUCUCUGGGACGGUACUGACGCUGAGACGCGAAAGCGUGGGGAGCGAAUAGG
This 253-nucleotide ribosomal RNA is filed under the name uncultured bacterium. Its description in RNAcentral is "partial 16S ribosomal RNA". It matches the Rfam family "Bacterial small subunit ribosomal RNA", at positions 524 to 776 of the family's 1533-position model. The record is from RNAcentral.